UUGAACGCUGGCGGUAGGCCUAACACAUGCAAGUCGAGCGCGAAAGUGCCUUCGGGUGCGAGUAGAGCGGCGGACGGGUGCGUAACGCGUAGGAAUCUGCCUGGUAGUGGGGGAUAACUCGGGGAAACUCGAGCUAAUACCGCAUACGCCCCAUGGGGGAAAGCGGGGGACCUUCGGGCCUCGCGCUAUCAGAUGAGCCUGCGUCGGAUUAGCUAGUUGGUAGGGUAAUGGCCUACCAAGGCGACGAUCCGUAGCUGGUCUGAGAGGAUGAUCAGCCACACUGGGACUGAGACACGGCCCAGACUCCUACGGGAGGCAGCAGUGGGGAAUAUUGGACAAUGGGGGCAACCCUGAUCCAGCCAUACCGCGUGUGUGAAGAAGGCCUUAGGGUUGUAAAGCACUUUCAGUGGGGAGGAAAAGUUGCCGGCGAAUACCCGGCGACCGUGACGCUACCUGCAGAAGAAGCACCGGCAAACUCCGU
Molecule: ribosomal RNA, 481 nt
Filed under: uncultured bacterium
Lineage: Bacteria
Description: bacterial SSU rRNA
Rfam family: Bacterial small subunit ribosomal RNA
Source: RNAcentral